This 468-nucleotide ribosomal RNA is filed under the name uncultured bacterium. RNAcentral's name for it is "bacterial SSU rRNA". It matches the Rfam family "Bacterial small subunit ribosomal RNA", at positions 29 to 492 of the family's 1533-position model. The record is from RNAcentral.
AUUGAACGCUGGCGGCAUGCUUUACACAUGCAAGUCGAACGGCAGCGGGUCCUUCGGGAUGCCGGCGAGUGGCGAACGGGUGAGUAAUGCAUCGGAACGUACCGUGUAAUGGGGGAUAACGUAGCGAAAGUUACGCUAAUACCGCAUACGCCCUGAGGGGGAAAGCGGGGGAUCGCAAGACCUCGCGUUAUACGAGCGGCCGAUGUCGGAUUAGCUAGUUGGUGGGGUAAAGGCCCACCAAGGCGACGAUCCGUAGCGGGUCUGAGAGGAUGAUCCGCCACACUGGGACUGAGACACGGCCCAGACUCCUACGGGAGGCAGCAGUGGGGAAUUUUGGACAAUGGGGGCAACCCUGAUCCAGCCAUGCCGCGUGCGGGAAGAAGGCCUGGUUGUAACCGCGUUCGUACGGAAGAAAUACGCAUGGUUAAGUACCCUCGUGUGGAGUGACGGUACCGUAACGAAGAAGAC